UACAGAGGGGGCAAGCGUUAUUCGGAAUUAUUGGGCGUAAAGGGCGCGUAGGCGGCUUGGCAAGUGGAUGGUGAAAUCCCUCGGCUUAACCGAGGAACUGCCGUCCAAACUGCUUAGCUUGAGACCGGGAGAGGUGAGUGGAAUUCCCAGUGUAGCGGUGAAAUGCGUAGAUAUUGGGAGGAACACCAGUGGCGAAGGCGGCUCACUGGACCGGUACUGACGCUGAUGCGCGAAAGCGUGGGGAGCAAACGGG
RNAcentral lists this ribosomal RNA (253 nucleotides) under uncultured bacterium. Its description in RNAcentral is "partial 16S ribosomal RNA". It matches the Rfam family "Bacterial small subunit ribosomal RNA", at positions 524 to 776 of the family's 1533-position model. The record is from RNAcentral.